AUGAACGCUGGCGGCGUGUCUAAUACAUGCAAGUCGAGCGAACAGACGAGGAGCUUGCUCCUCUGACGUUAGCGGCGGACGGGUGAGUAACACGUGGAUAACCUACCUAUAAGACUGGGAUAACUUCGGGAAACCGGAGCUAAUACCGGAUAAUAUAUUGAACCGCAUGGUUCAAUAGUGAAAGACGGUUUUGCUGUCACUUAUAGAUGGAUCCGCGCCGCAUUAGCUAGUUGGUAAGGUAACGGCUUACCAAGGCAACGAUGCGUAGCCGACCUGAGAGGGUGAUCGGCCACACUGGAACUGAGACACGGUCCAGACUCCUACGGGAGGCAGCAGUAGGGAAUCUUCCGCAAAGGGCGAAAGCCUGACGGAGCAACGCCGCGUGAGUGAUGAAGGUCUUCGGAUCGUAAAACUCUGUUAUUAGGGAAGAACAAAUGUGUAAGUAACUAUGCACGUCUUGACGGUACCUAAUCAGAAAGCCACGGCUAACUACGUG
RNAcentral lists this ribosomal RNA (496 nucleotides) under uncultured bacterium. RNAcentral's name for it is "partial 16S ribosomal RNA". It matches the Rfam family "Bacterial small subunit ribosomal RNA", at positions 29 to 507 of the family's 1533-position model. The record is from RNAcentral.